Molecule: ribosomal RNA, 494 nt
Filed under: uncultured bacterium
Lineage: Bacteria
Description: partial 16S ribosomal RNA
Rfam family: Bacterial small subunit ribosomal RNA
Source: RNAcentral
GACGAACGCUGGCGGCGCGCUUAACACAUGCAAGUCGAACGGAAAGGCCUGCUUUCCCUUGUGGAUUGCGGGUACUCGAGUGGCGAACGGGUGAGUAACACGUGAGUGAUCUGCCCCCAACUUGGGUAUAAGCCUGGGAAACUGGGUCUAAUUCCCGAUAGGACUGCAGGGUGGUGCCUGUGGUGGAAAACGAUUUUCUAGUGGUUGGGGAUGAGCUCGCGGCCUAUCAGCUUGUUGGUGGGGUAAUGGCCUACCAAGGCGGCGACGGGUAGCCGGCCUGGGAGGGUGGACGGCCACAUUGGGACUGAGAUACGGCCCAGACUCCUACGGGAGGCAGCAGGGGGGAAUAUUGCACAAUGGGCGGAAGCCUGAUGCAGCGACGCCGCGUGGGGGAUGACGGCCUUCGGGUUGUAAACUCCUUUCGACCGCGAGGAAGCCACCUGGUUGGAAGGGUGGUGACGGUAGUGGUAGAAGAAGCACCGGCUAACUACGUG